CUUUAGCUUGUUUAUUAUCUGCGGUCAAAUAAAAGGAAAACCUAAAUCUCAAUUUACCUUUUUAUGAAAUUAGAAAAAUAAGUUAAAAAAAGUUGUUUUUAAUUUUGCCCCUUUAUUAUGGUGUACUGGAAGUAAAGGGAAGAAAUCAAAUCAAAUCAAAUCAUUUCUUCUUCUUCUUCUUCUUCUUCUUCUUCUUCUUCUUCUUCUUCUUCUUUUCUCUCAAAUUAAUUUUGCCCCUCUGUUAUGCUUGUUUCUUCUUCUUUAUUCUUCUUCUUCUCUCUCAAACUUCCUCAAACCUUCUCUACAAUUCUCUCAUCUCCGCCACCUGCUAACAACAAAGAUCACCGUCCCUAGCGACAUCACAAGGACCUCACGCUAAGUCAGCUGCCACCAGUAGCGACAAGUGAUCCCGUUCGUGGAG
Molecule: long non-coding RNA, 421 nt
Filed under: Vigna radiata
Lineage: Eukaryota; Viridiplantae; Streptophyta; Magnoliopsida; Fabales; Fabaceae
Description: long non-coding RNA (VRAD_LNC005985)
Source: RNAcentral